This is a long non-coding RNA of Centrocercus urophasianus (Greater sage-grouse), 7122 nucleotides long. RefSeq lists it as uncharacterized. The transcript has 3 exons. NCBI's taxonomy places the organism in Eukaryota, Metazoa, Chordata, Aves, Galliformes, Phasianidae. The record is from RefSeq and is a predicted model, not a curated record.
AGUUUGCUGCUCUGAAUUUUUUGCAGACGCAACUGACAUCCCAGGACAAAAAUGUUUUUGAUGGUAACUGACUACUCAAAGCAUGAAGAACAAUGCACUGGGUUUAAGCAACGGUGUGCAUUCUCCUUUCCACUCCCUCGUAAUUCCUGGGAUCACUGUGAACACAUAUCUGCUCAGGUUCCUGAAAAAUAUGUCCAUGUCUCUGAGAUGAGCAGAACUGCCAGAUAUCUGUUGAGUGUGGAUUCCCAAUUUAACAUUUCUGGUCAGAUAAGUGCAGUUUGAAGAAGGAUAAGCACCUAACCAAUUACAUCAUGAUCGUUAAGCACUGACAGCCAUCCCUUUUGAAUGCAGCACAUAAAGGUGAUUCUCACCUGCUCUUCACUUGUCAGGAAAGGUGAAAGGACACGCACAGCAUUCAGACCUCAAUGGCUAACAGUAACAAAGGUAAGGGCCUAUUUUUUUUUUCUUACUAUCUAUCUUGGGAUCUCUUGGUUUAGCCUUGGAUUUUUGAUGUAGCAUACAUAUGGCACGGAAGCAUCCACAUACCAGGAAUUUGUGCUGGUCCACCUCCACCAUAGCUUUGGGCAGGAGGCUGGGGAUAGCCACCAAAGCCAGGGCCAGUGGGAGGCACGGCAAACCCAGGGCCUGUGGGAGUUAGGAGCAGAUAACAGAUUUUAGCACACAGCAUUUCUGGUUUCUGGCACAACAUGAGCCACGGCAUUGAGCUGCACAAGAGAUUGUUUCUUUUCUCUCUAUCUGUGCAGUGGCUCACAACCCAAAGCCAUCAAAACUCUGCUAUUAGCAUGCAGGUACUUAUUGGUAGCUAGCAAUCUGGCUGUCUAGACCCUGCUGCCUAAAUUGAUCACUGAACAAUCGCUUGCUUUUCUUUACUACUUUCCCGAGCACAAAGACUUGGUUACAACAGAAAUAACUCCCAAGGGCUGGAUCUUACCUCCGGGAUAAGAUGGCAUUCCUCCAGCCUGGGGAGCUCCAGGGAAGCCCCCUGGGGCAGGAUAUCCUCCUGCCUCUGGAUACCCAGCACUGGGUGGUGCUGCAGGAAAGCUCCCUCCUCCUGCUGGAGGAUAUCCUCCAGGAGCAGCAGGGUAGGUGUACUGCCCAGCGGGCGGAUAGACAGACUCCUGUCCUGUGGGCUGAAAUACAAAGAACCCACGAGAUGUCUGUACUCUAUUACAGAGUGAAAACUCAAGCUACUAAAAUGUCCAUAUAUGUGUAAUAACGUGAUUAGGUUUAGCUCUUAGGAGCAGCAGCAGCAUUCCCUAAACCUAGACACGGGCCUUCUGGCUGGGUCCUCUGAUGCAUCUCCCUAGCAGUAAAAUCUAGCUCAAAGGUUUUCCUCAGCUUUGGCUGUCCCAAGAUCCCCACCACCACGCCAUUGUGCCCAGGAAGAUCACCUUCCCCAGCAGUGCAGUCUAACCUUGUUCAGCCAGACUCAACAAAAAGAUUUUAAUAGGAUUUAGAUUUACAAACCCAAGGUUAGGAUCCCCUAGGCCUGCUAGGAUGACUAUCAAUAUUACAGAAAAUAAUUUCACAUUGACUUUUUGCACUAUUGCAGACUAGAAAACCCAGCAUGGCUACUCUGGCAUCUACAUGGUCUUUUAAAUUUGUGAACCGAAGCUGCUAGAUUUUAGAUGCCGGCUUAAAAAAUAAUCAUAGUAUCAUUUGAGUUAGAAGGGACCUUAGAUGUCAUGUAGUCCAACUCCCUUGCAAUGAACAGAGACAAUUGUGAGGGUUCAGCAGAACGUUGAAUAGGGUAAAGAAAUCCCAAAGUUAAGAAAGUCUGGCUUCUGACACGGUUAUCUCUUUAGUCUGACUGACUUUGGUGUUUCAGAGCGAGUCUGGGUAAAUUGUAAAGCAAAAUAACUGAAGAAUUUACUGCAUAUACUUUGAGUUUUUCACUAUUUUAUGGGACAUAGGCUGAGCUCCAUUUUAAGUCUAGUCAAGUACUACAUAAAUAGAAUUGCCACAAUUACGUUAUGUUCGGUGCCUUACCAAUUAAAGCACGAAGUUGUGUCGAGCUUUGAAAAAAAAAAACAAAACACUGCAACAUCAACCAUGCCUGAUACAUUCCAGGCCUUCCAGUUUCACUGGAGUUUUCAGUCCAUUCAGUCAUGAACUGAAGGUGGAAUAAAGUACUGUGGCUGAAGGACUGGGGGUCAAAGUCAAGUUAAAGUGUCCAAUAUCCUCAGAAAAAUAUUUACUCAGUGUUGUGGGAAAGCUGGGUUCUUGAGCUUGGAUUGCUCAGCAGCUUUACUCCUGAACGAAAUGGCCAGGAUGUGGGCAUACAGGUGGUUUGGGAGACACUGGUUCAGACAAUACCCAGUUCCUAAAGAUCCUCAUAUUUGUUAACAAUUACCAAUGCUUUAAAAAUAAAUCAAUAAAUAAAGCACCAUUUUGCUGAGGUAGUUAGCUAUAUGCAUGAGAAAAUAAAACAGAAUGAAAAUGGCUAAAAACAUCAAGGUAACAACCUAAACAAGAAGCAGCCACCCACCCUCUGGAACAAUGGGCAAUAUUAUAAAAUAUAUAUCGGACUUCCUUCUUGGAGUUCAUUUGAGAUAAAUGCAAAGUCACACUCAGAGAUGGAUAUGUGGGUAAAAACAGCUGCUAUUUACAUGCAUACAGUGAGAAGGGAUGUUGACUCUAAAUACACUGUGAAUGCAACACAGGUAAAAGCCAUACUUACAGGGUAGCCAGGGAAGGCAGGGUAGCCAGAAGGGGGAUAACCUGGGUAUGACAUUCUGGAAGAAAAAAAAAAAUUCCCUGUCAGUCACUACAUGAGUGUGUAGCUGCCACUUGUUGGUUUAGUAACUGUGACGUUACUUGAGCAACUCAGUUACUUCAUUCAGUGUUGCUAAAAGUACUCAUCAGCUACAAAACCACAAACCUUUUCCUUUUUUUUUUAAUUUGUUAUUUUUUUACACAGAACAGCAAGCAGAAUUCAGAAGAGAAGCAUCAUCAACUUUGUAAUUACUUGCUACCUUAAUUAGGUCAGAUAUAUGUUGAAGCACAGUAAGAGUGCUGAACCUCCAAAAGUAAUUCUGGAAUACAGGUUACAGAGCUUGAAGUCUCAGCAGGAAGGGGCUGAGCCUGUGUCAGAACAGAGACAGAAGAGUUAGGCUCAAUUCCAUGCUUGUAUCCUGUCAGCCUGCACCCCUUCACUCACAGGAAUAGCUCCUGAGAGGAGAAUAGUACUUGAUCUAUCCCACAGAGAACCAUCUAAUAGAAAUGUAUCUUUUGCCUGCUUUUGGCUGUUCUUAUGAAAUAGAUGCAUGCACCAAAAUGAUUUCAAAGAUCAAAUAAUGGGGUUUAAACUAAGAAGUUCUAACUUCUUGAAUAACACAAGCCAGAAUUGAUGCUAGCUGUAGCAAGUAUGACAAGUAAACAGGACAGCUCAAGUGUGGGAGGACCAGGGUGGUUCAGCAGCCACACGUCUAUUACUUUGACCUUUCAGUCCCUAUUAAGAUCCCACAUUUGUCUGUCUCCAAAACAUAAGAAAUGACUCAGUGUUUCUUUUCCUGAUGGUAAUAACAUGGUGCAUCCUGCAGAAUUAAACUGCGCCCAGUGCUGGUCAGUGCACCGUGAAAAAGAUUUGCAAAGAUCUGAAUUUUAAUCCAAAGAGCUUAUUUAAGCAUAAGAAGAUAACACUAUAGAUGAAGGUUUAUAUUAGCACAAUACAAACUUACACGUGACAUACAAUAAAUUGAAGAAAAGGGCAUAGAAAAGUUUUGCAAGUGCUUGUUUUCUGAGCCUGCAGGCCUUUCAGUCUUUAAGUGACUGUUCUGCCAAAAAAUGCCUCCGUGAGGCAUUCCUGUCUUGUAUAACUGAAGAGGGAAAGAGGUGGAGGAGCUGCUGGGUGGGGGCCUCACGCAGAACCGACCUCCACAGCAGCUCCAGGCAUGUUGUCUCUUGUGCAAGAGCUGCUGGCUGGAAAGGGAGGGGAUCUGUUUCAUUUUUUAAAAUCCUUUAAAAAUAAGUGAAGCUGCUGUUUCAAAAUUCGUGAGCAGAAAGAGCAAUCUUAGCCUCCCUACAAAUACUUUAUGCCAAUGGAAUUAUUUCUAUUUGUUAUUUCAAAAUACUACUGCCCUCACACUCAAACAAAACACCAAAAUGAGGAAGCAUCCAGGCAAGAGUUCAGCUCCCAGCUACUUCCCCAGUACCCCACAUCUUACUGUACUCCCCCUGCAUUACUUCAUUUGUGCAGGAGAUUUCUGUUUCCUGCUAAUAACUAUUUCAGUCCUUUUUUUAAUAGAAGGACUGGGGGAUUAGAAACAGAAGAAGACAGGAACUGGGAGUUACUCAUUGCAUGUUUAUGAGGCAGUGUCCUAACUGCACAAAUCAGAGAAAAUGGGAAAUAUAAAAAUGAAUUGUAAUACAGUUACUGACUAUUCACAUUCCUAGGUAUUCCGUAGGCAAACAAAUGGACCUGAAAGCCAUCUUCUUGCUGUGUUGUACCACUAAUUCCACAAAUGCUGCCUUAAAUGCCUCUGACUUACUGUAAAAAACAUUAAAACUUAGAGCAGGGUAGUUCAAAUGAGAGCCAAAGCAAUCUUGUAGACAAGUACAGCUAUGUGGUCUCACAGUGAUAAAGCGGGAGAACUGCUUCAGGGGGCUUUCUUCGUAAGAAAGGGAGAAGAACUGUGUGAGGUGACUUGGAAAUCAUAACUGUAAACACUUUAAUCAUAAACACUGCUAAUUGCCAUAUGUUUCCCUCAGAAGAAGCACACGGGCAAUACCUGUGCAGUAUCUACUACUGACAGCUAUGUGCGUUGACUUUUCAUUCUGGCUUUCCACACAUUUCUUUCACUUCUGUUACUUAACCAUGGGCUGCAGCUCCCUUCAGGAAGAAGACAACUGCCAACACUUCCUUUGGGUUUCAGUGUCACUCUUUCCACUCAAUGGGAAAACAGAGUGUCAGCAAAACUGGCCAUUAAAAACCUCCACUCUAUUGCAGCCUUAUGCUCCGUGUAAUUCAAUCAAAGUCACGCUGUUAAGCAGGCAGUAAGGUGAAGCCUGUAAAACGGGUAGGUGUGCACAGUAUCGCAUCUCCUGUGCUCACACUGCUUUUUGUAAGGCAGCAAGCAGCCGGUGGCUGCAGGUCAGCUGUUCCAACAGCUGUACAAAGUGUAAUUAGUAUACAAGUGGGACCCAGCAGUAUUUUAUCUGUACUGAAACAUACCAGUGUUUAAAUUGAUUGAUGAGAUACUUAAUGUAGAAUGAAGUCAGUUUUUUCAGCCAUGUUCCCCAUUCACUGUCAAACAAAUUCUGGCACAAAAGCUUUUUAGGAUUCUGGUUUCCAAGCCUCCUUUGCAAGGAAGGCGGUAUUUGUGAUUAGCAGAUCACCCACCCGUGCACACCUGUGACGUACACGGACUGUUGCAGUGCUUAACUCUUUCCUUACUGGCACCGCGUGGGUUCCAUUUCUGGGACGUGGGUAACUGCUGGUGCGUUUUGGGGCCGGCACCGGGAUUGGCAGCAUUUCGUGUGAUCACCAGCUCUAGCAAGACCCCAGUUCCUACUUCUUGUGUUUGUAACUCAGAAAAGUGACGGCGUUUUCUUGGUCAGACGUACUGUGGUGAAGGGGUCAGGUAAGGACUUCAGCCCCGGUCCCUGCAGGCGCUCCGCAGCCGGCUGCACAGUGCCGUAUGGCGAUACGGGCUUCUUCGACAGCAGGACCCAGAGUCCCUUCAGAACGCACCGACCGGACAGCAGCGCGUACCGAAGCAGCUCUCCUCAUAUCCCGUCUUACAGAUACACGUAUUCACAACAGCAGUACCUGAUUUCGGACCGCCUGCUCCCGCUCCGAGCUCAGCCCGAGGGCCGCGGAGCGGGGCAGAGGCCGCAGCCGCCCGUACGGCCGACAGGAGGGCGGGCUCUGCCCGGUACCGAUACCGGCCCUCCCUCGGCGUCCCGCAGCGGAGGGCAAUGGGAGCCGCCAUCCCGAGGCUUCGCGGGCCUUUCUCGUCGGAAUCGCAGGUUGCCACAGGUUACCAUCCAUGCUCAUCAGAAACGAGGUGAACACAAGGUUGCCUUGCUUCAUCAUACUGCCGAGAGACACUUUGGAGAAACUCCAUCCCUAUGUUGCAGCUGACUUGGAUUCUCUCUCUGAGAAGGCCUGACACAGCAAGCAUACAAGAUGUCACAGAACAGCUUGCAUUUUGAAGAUGCACGGUCAGGAAGCAGCAUGAUUUCUGCUACAAAGACUGGGGCUUUAUCCUGGAAGGAGGAGAACUAUUCAGCAGCCACUGGGAAGAACAGUGAGGUGAAGCAGAGUAGUUUCAUUUCUCUAUAUUUUAUCGCCAUUAUCAAUUAAUAAAAAUGGAAGUGGAGGAGGGGAAGAAAGACUGACCAAGAAGACGCUCUUUCAAUUAAGUUCUGAGUGUGCUAAUAGUACGACUUGUUUAAGUAAAUUGCUGAGCACUAAGAUGCAGUGAGUAAAGACUAGCAUUCAGACAGUAUGAUGGAAGUUAAUAUAACAUUGAUGCUAGUUAUGCUAUUCCCGUGAAGCAUUGCAAAGAUGUUCUGAACACUGCUGAGGUUAACUAAGCCAGUUCUUCACCCCCAGUGAGAAACCAACUUAUGAAAGGUUAAGGCUUUCAACUUACGUGCAAUGGUCAAGACAUUCUGGUAGGAAGAAUGCUCUGAUCUCUGGCUCACAGUUGUGGUUCAGCUAUUGCACAAUACUGUCCAAAACUAUAGUCUGCUACGUUCCUUGUUAUCCUAAUACAAUGUCUGUUAGUAAUUCAGACAGUCCCUGUCCCAGAGUACCUGACGUAGGCUUUAAUGCUCAUGCGUGAAUUCUGGAGACUUGUGUCCACAGUGAGGUGGAUUGGAUUGUGCGCUUCCCGGCUGUAAUACUCGUGGAUCAGGACAGAAUGUUCUGUGAUGUCGUGACCUGUUGCAUACCUUGAAUAAAGCAAAUGUUGAAAGAGCAUUCUUCUAAUGUUCAAAUGCCCAGCAUUUGUUGAUAUUUAACAGGUUUGUAUUCUAAAACCCUAAUGUCUAAGCACUGAGCUGCAGACGCAUAGUAAAGACUAGUAUUUUGACUAGGGCAUGUGUAGUCUUAUGGCUCUCCUAAAAUCAUAGGCUGAGAACACACAUGCCCAA